Acanthosepion pharaonis is the source of this 111-nucleotide non-coding RNA. NCBI's taxonomy places the organism in Eukaryota, Metazoa, Mollusca, Cephalopoda, Sepiida, Sepiidae. The record is from the annotation of a GenBank genome assembly.
ACCCACAUCACAUUGAAACACUGGUUCCUGUAUGAUCACUGAUAGUUAAGCAAUGUCAAGUCUGGUCAGUACCUAGAUUGGUGACUGUUUGGGAAUACCAGGUGCUGUAGG